This 451-nucleotide ribosomal RNA is filed under the name uncultured bacterium. RNAcentral's name for it is "bacterial SSU rRNA". It matches the Rfam family "Bacterial small subunit ribosomal RNA", at positions 335 to 800 of the family's 1533-position model. The record is from RNAcentral.
ACUCCUACGGGAGGCAGCAGUGGGGAAUAUUGCACAAUGGGCGCAAGCCUGAUGCAGCAACGCCGUGUGAGUGAAGAAGGUUUUCGGAUCGUAAAACUCUGUCCUAAGGGAAGAAAAAAUAGACGGUACCUUAGGAGGAAGCCCGGCCAACUACGUGCCAGCAGCCGCGGUAAUACGUAGGGGGCGAAGCGUUAUCCGGAAUCACUGGGGCGUAAAGGGUGCGUAGGCGGCUUAGCAAGCCAGGGGUGAAAGGCAUUGGCUCAACCAAUGUAAGCCUUUGGAACUGUUAAGCUUGAGUGCAGGAGAGGUAAGUGGAAUUCCUAGUGUAGAGGUGAAAUUCGUAGAUAUUAGGAGGAACACCAGUGGCGAAGGCGACUUACUGGACUGUAACUGACGCUGAUGCACGAAAGCGUGGGUAGCGAACAGGAUUAGAUACCCUGGUAGGUCAGUC